Molecule: ribosomal RNA, 253 nt
Filed under: uncultured bacterium
Lineage: Bacteria
Description: partial 16S ribosomal RNA
Rfam family: Bacterial small subunit ribosomal RNA
Source: RNAcentral
UACGUAGGGUGCGAGCGUUGUCCGGAAUUAUUGGGCGUAAAGGGCUCGUAGGCGGUUUGUCGCGUCGGGAGUGAAAACACCGGGCUUAACUCGGUGCUUGCUUUCGAUACGGGCAGACUAGAGGCAUGCAGGGGAGAACGGAAUUCCUGGUGUAGCGGUGAAAUGCGCAGAUAUCAGGAGGAACACCGGUGGCGAAGGCGGAUCUCUGGGCCUUGCCUGACGCUGAGGCGCGAAAGCUAGGGGAGCGAACAGG